Molecule: long non-coding RNA, 2979 nt
Organism: Homo sapiens (human)
Lineage: Eukaryota; Metazoa; Chordata; Mammalia; Primates; Hominidae
Source: Ensembl
GAGGCUGCUGGGUCCAAGUUAGGCAAGCCUGGGCCUAGGGAGUUAGAUUCACUCCAGACUCAGUGGGAUAUCUCAUGGCGUUUAGCAACUAUCUGGUAGCCUUCUGCUUCCCUGGCUGACUCCCGUGCAGGGGAGCUCGAGUUGCUGUGAGCUACCCAAUCUCUGGACCUGCAGUAAAGUGAACAUCAAGCAGAUUGUCAAGAGAAGGUCCUACAGUGGAAUGAUGUUUGGAGAAGAAAACUUCCAAGAUGCCGUAAUUGACUAAUUUACCUCCUGUUCCUCUACAACUUAUAGGAGAAUCACAACCAGCACGCACGUGUACAGAAAGGCCAUUUGAGCACACAGCAAGAAGGCAACUGUCUACAAGCCAGGAAGAGAGCCUUCACUAGAUACUGACCAUGCUGACAUCUUGAUCUUGGACUUCCCAGACUCCAGAACUGCACACAUCAAGGAAAGGCUGUGUGAGGACACAGGGAGAAAGCAUCAUCUACAAACCAGGAAGAGAGCCCUUACUAGAAACCUAACCCUACCAGCACCUUGACCUUGGACUUCUACCCUACAGAACUGUGAGAAAUAAAUUUCUGUUGUUUAAGCCAUCAAGUCUGUGAUAUUUUAUGAUGGCAGCCUGAGAAGACUGAUAAAAAGCUAAAACACAUUUAAAUGAAAAAAAAAAUAUUUAUUUAUAUAAUGUAAAUAUCUUCCAGCUUGAUAGCCUCUGUGGGUGACUGCAUUUUGGCUGCCACAAUAUCUCCCCUCCCACAUGUACAUCUACCACGUGACAUUGAGUAUCUCCCAUCCCACACGUUUAUCUACCACGUGACAUUGAAUUGUCACCAAUCAAGAUGUACAAUCUGUGACUUUCCCUUUGGAAUUGCACAAACUUAUGUCUCAUUAGUAACCAGUGUGGUAGAAGUGAUGCUGUGUGCCUUCUGAGGCUGGGUCAUGAAGACAAUGCAGUUUCCAACUUGAGAGUUGGAGCACUUGCUUUAGGAGUGCUGUCACCAAGAAGGUUUGGAUACCCUAAGGCUGCCAUGUUGUGAGGAAGCCCAGGCCAGUGGAGAAGCCACUUUUGGAUGCUCAGCUUACUGUCAAGCACACAGGAAGUAUGAAAGAGAAGGUCCCAGAUAAAAGUCAACACCAAUAUCCCAACAUGUGAAUGAAGACACCUCUUGAUGAUUUCAAAGCCCAACAAUCAUCAAGUCACCCCUAGGAUAGUAUUUCUGGGAGGUCCACAAUUGAUCUCUCACAUGUACUCACAUAUUGGUUUCUGCUGUCAUCACAUGAUCAAUCAUCACCACUGUUGUUCCUCUGCUGCCUGGAGGUUCUCCAUCCCUGCCUUUGCCCUUCCCUCACACUCUCAUUUCAAGGUCCCUGUCAAAGAGGAAUGAUUUAACAGCUUUCAGGAUUUGGCAACUCCAAUGCCGCUGAAGACUGAGUGUGGAAGAGGCCCCAUUGCCAAUUUUCAGCCAUACUUUGUCACUUGGGCUCCAAAGCAACCUAGAAAGUCACAAAAGCUACUCCUGGGCAAUUUUCUGCCAACUCUAGUAGCCGUGCUUAUUCAAUAACAAUUAUAUAAUACUCAAUGUGAGACAGUUACUAUUUCCAUCACUUAAAAAGAUUAACCUACCUUUACAAUAACCUUAUGAGUUUUGUUAUUAUUUUGUUUUACAGAAGAGGAUACUGAGAUUUAGCAAGGCUAAAUAACCAGCUUAGGGUCACCCAGCUAGGAAGUAGUAGAGCUAGUGUGUGUGCAUACACUGGCACAUGCAUGCUCAUAUGUGCAUGUGUACUUGUAUCUUUCUCUGCUGUGUAUACUUGGAAGCAGGUUUUGGCUUGCCUGAGUCUAUGGAUGGAGGUAAGAGCAGCCAAUAUUUAUUGCAAGAGAUAAACAAACCCUAACCCAGCCAAGCUUUAAAGUGUCUGGGGUUUUAAGAGCUUUCCAGGCCCUUUGACGAAACCCAUCAGGCCAGAGUAAUGAUGCUGCGGUUUGCCAUUCAUUCUUAUUGGGUUUAAUGAAGAUAAAGGAGCUCUCUUUAUGUGUCCAGUUGGGCUUAACAAAUUAACCAGGCUGCCGGAGGGGUACAUGUGAACAGAAUAUUUGUCCUCAUAAUGUUCAUUAGGAGGGAGAAAGUUAACUAACCUUUUGUUCUGUAUUUCUUUUCCUAAAGCCCAGUGAAAACUGCAGAGCUGAAACAUCAUCGCUAAUCUUAUUUCUGACGGGCCUUUUUCUAACUUCUCCUUUUAUGAUCAUUUCACAGCUGUUAUAUUGAAUCAGUAUCAUUAUGUGUUUAAAAAAAAAAUUAUGCUCUGUGUCUCAGAGCUAACUGUCCAGAACUAAACAUCCUGGCCCCCUUUGGACAAUGACAGGCUGUCAGAGAACUGGAAAGGGGAUUGGGUUGGUUUGUUUGCUUCUUGUGUCCUCUUGACAGCUCCUGGUGAAUGAAGGAAAGCUGCGAUGAUCAGAUUUUUGCUAUGGGUUUACAACAUGACUAUAAGCAAAUCCCUGUAGCAAAUUGCAAAAAUGGCCCCCAAGUCCUGAAUGCACACCCCUUUCCAGUGGGAUUUUGCCACAUCUCUCAUUAACAGGUGGAGUCCCUAUUUCACACUUUGAAUCUGGAAUUAGUAAUGGGAUUUGCUUUGUCCAAUGGGAUGUCAGCUGAGGCUUGAAAGGCACUUGUUGGAGUUUGCUUUACCAUGCUGCAUCUAUAAUCUUGAGACCCUCACGUUACCCGGCCUGAGCUAGCCUGCAAGAAAAUGAGAGAAGAUAAGGAGAAGAAACAAAGUACAAUGGUUGAUGGUCACCCUUGUUAAUUCAACUGAUAGACUUCCAACUGCUAGACAAGUGAGGGUGGCCACCCUAGAUCACUCAGCCAUCAGCCCGCAUGCCAACUGAUCACAGAUGCAUGAGAGCCCAGCAGAGAUAAGCCAUGCUAACCCAGGCAGAAGUAUCACCCAACUGACACACAGAAUCAUGGACUA